GAUGAACGCUGGCGGCGUGCCUAAUACAUGCAAGUCGAGCGAACAGACGAGGAGCUUGCUCCUCUGACGUUAGCGGCGGACGGGUGAGUAACACGUGGAUAACCUACCUAUAAGACUGGGAUAACUUCGGGAAACCGGAGCUAAUACCGGAUAAUAUUUUGAACCGCAUGGUUCAAUAGUGAAAGACGGUUUUGCUGUCACUUAUAGAUGGAUCCGCGCCGCAUUAGCUAGUUGGUAAGGUAACGGCUUACCAAGGCAACGAUGCGUAGCCGACCUGAGAGGGUGAUCGGCCACACUAGAACUUAGACACGGUCCAGACUCCUAAGGGAGGCAGCAGUAGGGAAUCUUCCGCAAUGGGCGAAAGCCUUACGGAGCAACGCCGCGUGAGUUAUGAAGGUCUUCGGAUCGUAAAACUCUGUUAUUAGGGAAGAACAAAUGUGGAAGUAACUGUGCACGUCUUGACGGUACCUAAUCAGAAAGCCACGGCUAACUACGUG
Molecule: ribosomal RNA, 497 nt
Filed under: uncultured bacterium
Lineage: Bacteria
Description: partial 16S ribosomal RNA
Rfam family: Bacterial small subunit ribosomal RNA
Source: RNAcentral